RNAcentral lists this ribosomal RNA (465 nucleotides) under uncultured bacterium. Its description in RNAcentral is "partial 16S ribosomal RNA". It matches the Rfam family "Bacterial small subunit ribosomal RNA", at positions 339 to 795 of the family's 1533-position model. The record is from RNAcentral.
CUACGGGUGGCUGCAGUGAGGAAUUUUGCGCAAUGGGGGGAACCCUGACGCAGCAACGCCGUGUGAGUGAAGAAGGCCUUUGGGUCGUAAAGCUCUGUCAACUGGGAAGAAGUUACUAUGCUUAAAUAGAGUGUAGUAUUGACGGUACCAGUGGAGGAAGCGUCGGCUAACUCCGUGCCAGCAGCCGCGGUAACACGGGGGACGCAAGCGUUAUUCGGAAUUAUUGGGCGUAAAGGGCGCGUAGGCGGUCGUGUCGGUCAGGUGUGAAAGCCCGGGGCUCAACCCCGGACGUGCACUUGAAACAGCAAGACUUGAGUACGGGAGAGGAAAGCGGAAUUCCUGGUGUAGAGGUGAAAUUCGUAGAUAUCAGGAGGAACACCGAUGGCGAAGGCAGCUUUCUGGACCGAAACUGACGCUGAGGCGCGAAGGCGUGGGUAGCGAACGGGAUUAGAUACCCCAGUAGUC